Long non-coding RNA from Alligator mississippiensis (American alligator), 7400 nucleotides. RefSeq lists it as uncharacterized. Lineage: Eukaryota; Metazoa; Chordata; Crocodylia; Alligatoridae. The transcript has 7 exons. The record is from RefSeq and is a predicted model, not a curated record.
UUAAGGCACCAUCCAGCUGGGAGACUGAAGAGAGCUCCCAGGGAGAAGAGAAAAGGGGAGGCUCUGGAGGAAACAGCUUUGCUGUAAGUGGUUAUGGAUGAUACCUGCAUUUGGGCCUCUCCUACAGGUUUCGGGGAUACAUUUCAAUGAAGAGGCUGCAGACAGAGGCUGACUGUUGGAACCCAAGCUGGAGUACCUGGAUGAUCUCAAGGAUGAUCCUCAUGUGUGUCAUGCCAACACAGAGCCAAGGGGAUGGAGCAAGGGGCUAGAGACCCGGAGCCUUGAGUUCCAGUCCUGACUUUGUCCUUAAUCGUGGCACGCAUUGUUUUCGUUCCAGUAUUCAGCGGUAUUAGGUCAGUCAGAAGAUCCAGAGUUCAAAGCACAAGAGGGAAGGCGAGUGGUGGCAGGCUGGAGUCUGGAGUCAGGGCCCGCUCGCGUUGGGCGUGGAUGUGGAGCUGUGCUCAAGUGGUCUCUUGUCUGCUAGAUCCCAGCGCAGAUAAGGAGGUUCCCACAGCUGAAGGAGAACAAGCCGUACAGUUAACAUCAAAGAAAGAGACCGGGAGGAUUAUGGGAGGUACAAGUUGCAGCGACAUGGUUCUGACAGGUUUGGUUAAAGUUACGGCAGCCGGGAAUCCUUCUCAAGGCUCGGGAGCCUAAUGCCGUUGGUACAGCGGUGCAUUUUCCCAUGGAGUCAGGCCCUUGAACAGUCAAUUCGUUUGAGGGUCUGAAAGACUCCAAACGACUUGGCAGCUUUAUUGAAGUGUUACCAUCCAAAAUAGACUUGGACCAAUUUUAAGAAAAAGCCGUUGCAUAGGCAUGCACAGACCUGGCUGUGCUCAACCGUCACUGCCUUACAAACUAGUGUCAACCUCAGCAACUGCAGCAUUUUGGGAACGGUGACCUCCUGGGUGCAAAGUGUCAUUCUGGCUGUAGCCGCAAAACAUGUUGGCGUCUUUAUCUUAAAUCGCUCGUAAGCCAAUUAGAUGAUUAGAUCAAGAGUAUGUGAUGCUCUUAAAAUUGGUGCGUAUAAGUCUCAAGCUAGCAGUUUUGUACCAGGGGCCGUGACAUCGCCUUUGGUAACAUUCAGCGGCAAGAGCUGACUUUGGUUAGUGACAUUUGUACUGAGAUUAGGCCUCAAAUACAAGCUAACAAGCUGACAGUCUAGUAAUUUGUCCUUGUAUACUGGUAUGAUUGCUGUCUUGACUGCAUGUACAGCUAACACAGACUUACUUGAUAGCCGUUGUCCAAUUAAUUAAGUAUGCUGGUAGCAACCGUAGGUAAUUAGCUAAUUUUUAUGGGCAAAGAUGCAUAUUGUAUGCUGCAGGGCAAAUUACUUGCAUUUUGACAUCUGAAAGGUUAACUUAACCCAAGUAUAGGUGACAAUUUCUGUUGUGCUGUUUAGCACUGCCAUUGUCCUGCAGUUUUUAUUCAGGCAAGAGACCUAUCAACUCCCACAGUUUGAGUGCGAGGAUAGUAGUAGUAGGAUUGGGUCCUACGUUGAACCUGCACCAACUGCAAAAGACUGUGCUACUUCAUUUGGUGGCAUCUGUUGGAGCAGAUUAUUUUUAAAAAGUCUAAAAAAAUUCCUAUAAAAUAGGAUUUAGCCAAGAAGCUUACUUUCCAAGCUGCUCCUUUUAAAGAUUGACAUGGUGUUCCUAGUUAGACGCAGAGGUAGCUGCUUUUGUUGGUUCAAUUCUUUCCUCUGCUUUUUUAUUUUCAGUGCAGAAAACGUAUGAAGAAUUCCCUCCCCGUUGGCUUUUGUUUCCUCUCCCUCCCUGCAUUUAACACUUCCUGCAUCUUGCUAUUCUUCCAAGUGCUUUGGGCUCAAAAUACACUGGUACAGGUCUUGUGAUUUCUGCAAGCUGUUGCAAUUUUGAGCUACGAUAAAACCUAGCUUUAGCUUUUGUGCGUGAAAUGAAGAAGCCUGAUCUCCUUUAGUAGUAAGGUUUCUCCCCUCUUCCUACCAGCCCCUGCUGCCUGACCCUGACUCCAUGUUUUAUACAUCCUCUGCAGUGGAAGAAAAUCAAUGGCAAGAAGUGAGACUUAAACUUGCCAAGUGUUAUGAACUAUUUUAUAUAAUGGUGGCAACUCCACCAUUCCCUUAUAUUUACGCUGAAGAAAACCGUGGCGGUCCAGACAACCGAGCAGCAUCCCAGAAGGAAAAUACUUGUGUCUCUUUGGCUUCUCCGAAUUAAACUAGUCCUUGUUCACCGGCAACUCGGCUUGAAAGCUUACGCACACCCACAUCGCUGCUCAGCAGAGAUGAUUUUCCUGCUUUGGACACUAACGAACAGCUGCCUAUGCCUACCCCAUCAGCAGCCAUCGCGGCACCAAAAUGCACGCUGCCAGAGUCCACAAUGGUCCCACGUGUCUAACCUUAACGUCUCACCAUAGAGGUCUGUUUCCUCCAGUAUCAUCUAAACACCCUGCCCGCCCCUCAGCAACCAAACAGCUCAUCAACUGGUCCUGCUCCAACAUUUCGGCCAUUUUUCUUCACUGGCACUUUCCCAUAUAAUAUGCAAGAACUGGUGCUUCAGGUAAAGGUUCAGACCCAUUAGAGAAAAUGACUUCCUUGAAAUUGAAUUAGACGGACAAGAAUUGACUUAUCAGGAUCUGCUCAGAGUGAGUUGCUGUGAAUUGGAUGUGAAUCCAGAGCAAGUGGAAGAUUAGGAAGUUACCUGAUACUCUAGUGAGAAAGGACAAAGAUGUUGCAAGACUUCAGGACUUCCAAGAACUGGAGCUGGUUCUAGUGCCGUGACAACUCUUUUAGAAACCCUGCAUCAACAUGACAAAGGCCUUGUUUGUGUAAAGCAUCCAAGCUUACGUACUGACCUUCCUCAGCAGAACGUGAACACUUCAAUCAUAUGCAACUGUCUCUUGAAGGGAGAGACCCACUGCUGCCUGCAACUAUGGACUACAAAUCCCAGAAACACCUGGAAGCAGGAAGAAGUGAUGAGAAUUCCUGCAGAGUCCUGCUGCUGUGAUUUUGGACUGUAAAUCCCAGACCCCAGGGGCAGCAGAAAGAGGAAGUGAACACAUAGCCAGAAAGCCAUGCUCUGGAACCCCCCAGCUUCUGGCCUGAGGCACUGCAGGCAUGCUGCUGCAUUUCCUGAAUCAAAGGUAAAUGUCUGUUCACUUCUGUUUCAAUUUAAUCUGUGCAGCUUAGACUAACCUGCAAAGACUGAACUGAUUCAGCCUCGGGGCUUUUUUGACCAUCUGUACCUAGCUCUACUGUCUGCUAAAGGGCAAACUUUACUAGACAUUUUAUCAACUUCGUGAUUUAGAGCCACACACUUUUAACUCACCGCUUUCUUCCCAUGCAGAUACACUGAAGGUAUUGAAACACUCUGGUAGGUAGACAGUAUUAUUUCCCUGCAUUCUGGCAGACAAUGAGCUCCUGAAGUUAGGGCAGACUAGGUGGAAGCCUUAGGCCUACGAUGCAAUGGUACUUUCUUCUGUUCAGCUGGAGGCUCCGUGACAUGGAAAUCUGACCCUUCCAGCUGCUACUUAUUCAUCUUCCUGAUAGGAAGAUGUAGUGUAGAGAUCUAUUAAUUCCUCUUCCACCUCUAAUUCCCUUAUGAAGCUGUGCUACUGCAGCUACUUUCAGGCAGCAUUUGGGUAUUUUUAUUAGUUAAGGCGCUACAAUUUUUUGGCAGAGACUUCAAUUUAUAAUACUGUAAAACAUAGUCCAAUUUAUUGCAGUCCACUGAGACAGCACUUUCCUUUGCAGUACCUGCUGCACUGUAUAAACCAAGGCUAUCUGUGCACAUUUUGUUAAAAGUAGGUAUUUCUGUAUUUGACUCACAAGCCUAAGACUAUAUGUGGGUGUGGGAUAGCACAGUGGAUUAACAAAGGGGACUAGUAACUUACUAAAACCAGCCAGCUUUUAAUUUAAGUGGUUCAAAACAGGCUACCACAUGUUCUAGAUUACUUCUGCUCCCCUCCAUCAUACAUGACUUUUUUGACAGAGCAGCAAGCACCCUGUCAAUCUGUGCAUCAGUACUACUUACAUAGUCUAACAACCAGAGUCAACAGAAAGCUGAGCUCCUUCAUCCACUACCCACAAGUCAUCCAGAAGUCCUCUCCUCCACUGGCCUGUUAUGCACUCAUAAGCUGGGUCAGCACCUGUAUACGUUUAGAUUUUUCAUCAAGCUGCAUUCAUUCCCCUGCCAGGAAGCAAGGGUUUAUCUUAGCAGUUACUAAUUAUGGCACAAACCCGACUCUAGUGAAAAGUGUUUUUUUAAAAAAUGUAUGAAAUAACUGUGGAACACUAAUAGCUAUAUGGUUUAGAAUUAAGGAUAUUUACACAUCUAGCUUUGCUUAGGAAAAUAAAAACAGUUGCCUUUUUUUUUUUUUUAAUAUUGCCUCUGUUAGUUACUGAAGAGGUUAGCUAUGGAACAAUUCCCAUGACUCUUUACAAAGAGUAACUAUUUAGCUUUAUAUUAUUUUAACACUAACGUCUACCACCUGUAACAAACUGUCGCUGAUAGUCAGUAUAUACAUUUAGAGAAAUAUUUUUAUGUAGUUUGAUCAGUUUUAAGGUGCACUAGCUAUAUUAACUACUAAUUCCUUUGAACUGAAUAAAGACUGUGAAUGAGAAAAGCAUCACUAAAGCUCUUAGUCAAUAUCAGCUGUUUCAAGCAAACAGAUUUGUACAUCUCUGUCCUUAGCCCUAAAUCUCUGGCUUUUAAUAUAAUCACCUUGGGGGUUAAUUAGUAGUAGAUGGUCUCAAACUUAAACACAAAAUGCCAAGGCUUGAGGCUACUCCCAAUGCUCAGCUUUAUUGUUGGGAUACUGCUCUGAACGCUUUCAAACAGCAGCUGAGAUUAACUUGUGAAAGCUCAUUAUUUACAAUCCAACAAGGGCUUUCACAAACCUAUUUCUGCAGUUAAUGUGAAAUUUGUGUUUCUACAAGGGAAGUCAGGUUCUGAACAAGAGGGCCCAGGUAAGAGAGAAAAGGUAAGAAAGAACUGGCAGCUAAGCCUUAAAAGAGACUGUAAGUAGCUCAGUAGCAGAACCAGAGUAUGGGUUUACCUCUUCAACACAACCUUUUUGCCUACGUAGAGCUGAGGAAGUUUCAAUACAAUUCUUACACAACAACCCUGAAAAGCUUUUAAGCCAAGAUUUAGAUGAUGACAUGUCACUACUCCAGGCAAGGUCUAAAGCUGAAGUAUCCUUAGCCUUGCUUUUCUCUGGAGUUGGAGGAGUAGUAGCCUUUGUCUGGCCAGUAGGGAUGUUCGUUACAAUCUGAAACAGACGCUGUUAAUGAAAUUCUAGUUGCUACUACACCAGUAGAUCAACUACUCAAUGUUAUUUUUUUCAUUUUUUCUUCAGCUUCAAGCCAGUAGCAAUUAUAUUUACUUCAAACAGCUACAUUCCCCUUUGACAGAGGUGCAUAUAGCUUAGAAACCAUGGGCAUUUUAUACGCAUACAUGUGUCUGCUCUGACGAGCUAGAAAUCCAGCACGUCAGAGCAGACUUGAUUAAUCUAGUCUGCUCUGCACGUGAGCUGAUGUGCCUGGCGCUGUGUCGUGUGCAUUUGUAUAAACAGCAAAAUGCACACGAGUGCUGAGAAAAUGGCAGCAAUGAGCUUUUGAACUCGCACACCUCUGAAGGGUUUUAGUUCAAAAGUGCGCUGCCGCCAUUUGCUCAGCACUGACACAAAUUUCACAAUCUAUACAAAUGUACGUGCCACAAAAGUAUAGAAAAUGCAGCGCAGAAGUGUACAAAUGCCCCAUGCUUUUAGCAGAAGUCAUUACAUUUCAACACCACCAUCCACGUGACAGUACACUGUGUACUGCGAUAGAAUUACUUGCCCUUGUGAAGGGUAAGAGCUUUUUAAAAUUAAUUUUAUGUCCUAGAUUGAAUAAUGGCCUACCGAUUUGCUAUAAUUUGACCCAAAAGCCUGAAAGUGCUGAAGUACAACUUGCAUUUUCAUGACUAGUUUUACAAGAUGUCAGAUCACGUUACCAAAUUCAACCUAACACCUUCUACUCCUAUGCAAAACAUGGUCUAAGCUAAGUUACAGCCCUGUUCUCCAGUGCCUCACACCUCGUUUAGCCAUUUAUAACCCAGCAAAGCAAAACACGUAGACUGAAAAAAUGCUACUAGCCCAACAGAGAGAUCAUGUAUUGUGGAAUGACUAAGGCAUUAGGACCUUUUCCACCAAAAUGACCAACACAGACCAAUCAUAUAUUGGAAUAACAUUCACUGGCUAUCUCCAAUUUCUGAGGACAGAUUGAUUUUGUUGAUAUAGCUGGUGAUGAUAUAGUUGGAGAUGCUCCUGCUCCGAGCAGGGGGUUGGACUAGAUGACCUCCUGAGGUCCUUUCCAGCCCUCAUUUUCUGUGAUUCUAUACGUCUGUUAUGAUUUCGAUUAGCGCACAACUUUUGGCUUCUGUGCCUGCAGCUCCAUACAGCUCCCUUCCUAUCUAUGAAAGAGUAUUUAAUCAUAGAAAAUCCAUUCAACUGAAUGUACAAGGAUAAAUACCAGGCAGAACAGACACUCUCUUGAAAGAUCUGAUCCACAGAAUGGAACAAUAUGGCACAAAAGUCAAAGAGCAGCAAUCAGAAACGGAAUCGUCUCAUGUUCCAUUUCAUUAAAGAGACCAAGUUACAUGAUGUCUGCAGCAAAUGUUUCCACAAAUAAUCCAAUUAACAGAGGCUCCAUAUUAACUUUCCCUAAAGACGCGUAUCAUGCUCCAUUAUCAACAUUCAGACCCAGAAUACACAAUACUAACACAAAGACUAAUCAAAUGGUUUUUACUUUGAACGCUGGAGCACUGCAAAGAUUCGACCCACCCCUUCCCCACCACCAGCCAACUGAGAUGAGCGCUGUUGCAAUACAACUUCACAGGCGAGUUUAGUGUGGAAAGGAACACACAUUCCAAACUACUUUAAUAUACAAAAUAUGUCCACUUAUUUUGCCUAAUUUCCAAUGAAGUGUUUGAAUUGCUGUUAGGAUGCAAACAUGGUAGCAGUACAGUACUGUAGGAAAAUAGACACCGGGACUGACAUUGCUUUAAUAUCUCAAUGUCCUUACUUUCUAUCACUCAGGAAACUGAAACCUGUAUUUGUGUUCUGAAUUUCCAUUCUGAUGAAGUAGGGGUAUAUACCUGAAGGUGGAGAGAAAGGGCCUCUUCAAAAAUUUUUCUAAUCUGCCUUAUUAGAGGGAAAUACACAGCCAUGUCUUGUACUUUAUUUGACUCCUAAGAAAAUAAAGUGUGACAAAAAUCCUGCAGCUUGUAAUAAUGUGUGACUGUUUAAGAAGUAACCAGGAGUUAGAAGGUACUCGCCUGUUAACAGUUAGUUUUUAGGGACAACUACAUUGAAAGAGUCAAAAAGGAAGAAAACCAGAAUAACUGACCAUCCAAAUUAAAGGAUAAGCUUGAAGACACAAAUAA